GAUUGCCCAGAGCGGAUGACAGCUUCUGUGCAGUCGGACGAGGAAGGAGUCAAGAAGCCCCCACCCUUUGAGCUGCAGUUUUACAAAGCUCUGGAAAUUCUUAGCGUGGCGUAAUUACGCACUUGCAAUAGCUGACGGGUUCGUCCUAGCUAGAUUUAGGGUAGCGCUUGCCUUGAGUUCGACUACCCCGAACUUACGGUCAAAAAGCAAGAAUAACGUAAGUUGAAGUGUUUUAGUAUGGCCAUUAAAAGUUGGAGACAAAGAAGUGUAGGAGGGUCGGUUGGAUAGAGAAUGGCAUAAUUUCUUGACAUUCAAAGCGACCACACAAGCCGCAGUGCCGACCUGGUAAUGUUGUAGUGUCAACAUCAAAGAAGUCACUGCUGCGUUCAAGAGACUUUGCAAAGUUAACCCGACAGCGGUGUGCCGAUGAACGCUGCCCAACGCUAUUAACUUUUGCAACGGCUGCCCUGGGUGUUGGUGAAUAUCAUGUAGGGGACCUGGAAAGAUGGAGUCAGGUUUACUCUGCAAGUUAGUGAGACAGAAGAGAGCAAAGCAUGAUGACAUUACAGCAAGAGGAGCACUACAGUGAAAUCGUUCAUGUAAGACAAACUAUGGGGAAUUUUGAAUGUGAAAACCCCAUUUUAAUACAGUAGAAUUCUUCAAAUGUUUAUUACAAACUUCAUUGGGUUUAUCGUAGGUUUUUAUACACAUUCAACGAGAUUCCAAAUGUAAUCUUUAUUGUUGUUCCCUAAGAAAUGCUUUAUUUGGAUAUAGUCUUGACAUGUCAAGUAAGGCAUCCUAAAAUUGUUUGAGUAGACCCAGCAAGCAUGUGAACCUUGUCUUUGCUUUGAGAUGCUCUUAUAAGGAUAAGGAAAUAUGUUUGGGAUGUCUCCAGUGGGGUUGAACCCCUGACAUUAUGUUGGGAGAUUCCCUAGAUGUAUGUACCACACAUAUGCAUUACAGUAUUUAUUGUACAGUGCCCAGCAUACCGUCAUUUGCAUAUAAUAUUGUUUAUAUAGUAUUCCAGGGACAAUUUAGAUUUUUUACAUUAUUAAUAACAAUGACCACAAAUGAGGAGAAACACACCAUUAUAUGAAGGUUGUAUACCAUGAGUAACACAGUGUUAUUUAUGUUUUUGUGCUAAAUAAAUAAAAGCAAACACUUCUGGAACCAACUUGUCAUAUCUUGUGUGGGAACUGUACUGCUUGCAUGACAACUGUUCUGUAACUGCUCCUGUCAUUGGUCAAUAAUGGUGUAUUUAUACUAGAUGGUUUUAAAAAAAAAA
This is a long non-coding RNA of Electrophorus electricus (electric eel), 1285 nucleotides long. RefSeq lists it as uncharacterized. NCBI's taxonomy places the organism in Eukaryota, Metazoa, Chordata, Actinopteri, Gymnotiformes, Gymnotidae. The record is from RefSeq and is a predicted model, not a curated record.